Molecule: small nucleolar RNA, 135 nt
Organism: Osmerus eperlanus (European smelt)
Lineage: Eukaryota; Metazoa; Chordata; Actinopteri; Osmeriformes; Osmeridae
Source: RefSeq, a predicted model, not a curated record
AUGGCCCUGAUCAAGUCUGUCAGUUUGUUGUAGCUGACGGUUUCAAACAGGAGCCAAGAUGAAAAUCUUCCCAUGGUCUGUUGGUUUCCCCCAAGUCUCCCAAGGGGAUAGUCAAUUCAGUUGGAAGAAACAAAA